UCACUUAUAAUAGUUCUUACUUGAUCUAACACCGAGCAUAACUAUACUUCUGGUUACAUCAAUAGCCUUGAAAUCAGUUUUAGUGAAUAUGAAUUUCAAGUCAUCAUCACAUAACUAGCAUAUACUGAUGAAAAUGGCUUUCAAUCCUUUGGAAAGCACUCACAAGUUGUGGUUGGUUUGGAUUCUCAAUGGAACCAACACCAUGAUUUGUUUCUUGUCCACGUCACUAAAAGUAACUCU
This 240-nucleotide long non-coding RNA is filed under the name Brassica rapa (field mustard). RNAcentral describes it as "long non-coding RNA (BRAP_LNC005460)". The record is from RNAcentral. Lineage: Eukaryota; Viridiplantae; Streptophyta; Magnoliopsida; Brassicales; Brassicaceae.